RNAcentral lists this microRNA precursor (84 nucleotides) under Bombyx mori (domestic silkworm). RNAcentral's name for it is "mir-2807 microRNA precursor family". It matches the Rfam family "mir-2807 microRNA precursor family". The record is from Rfam by way of RNAcentral. Lineage: Eukaryota; Metazoa; Arthropoda; Insecta; Lepidoptera; Bombycidae.
UUAACUCAUAUUUGUAUGAAAUGGGCUCGUUUGCGUACGUUUGCCGCUAGGGGCGCUGUUCCAACUGCAUACAAAUAUGAGUUA